CCCCUAGUGAGGCACAGUGGUUUGAGUGUUUGACCACGACUCUGGAGACCAGGGUUCAAGUCCCUGCUUGGCUA
Molecule: non-coding RNA, 74 nt
Organism: Phrynosoma platyrhinos (Desert horned lizard)
Lineage: Eukaryota; Metazoa; Chordata; Lepidosauria; Squamata; Phrynosomatidae
Source: the annotation of a GenBank genome assembly